Molecule: ribosomal RNA, 253 nt
Filed under: uncultured bacterium
Lineage: Bacteria
Description: partial 16S ribosomal RNA
Rfam family: Bacterial small subunit ribosomal RNA
Source: RNAcentral
UACAGAGGUCCCAAGCGUUGUUCGGAUUUACUGGGCGUAAAGGGUGCGUAGGUGGUCGGGUAAGUUUGAUGUGAAAUUUCGGAGCCCAACUCCGAAACUGCAUUGAAUACUAUUCGGCUCGAGGUUGGGAGGGGAGACUGGAAUUCUCGGUGUAGCAGUGAAAUGCUUAGAUAUCGAGAGGAACACCAGUGGCGAAGGCGAGUCUCUGGACCAAUCCUGACACUGAGGCACGAAAGCCAGGGGAGCAAACGGG